UUCUAUGGUCAUAUCCCCCUGAAUACUCCUGAUGUUGUCUGAUCUUGGAUGUUAAGCAGGGUCAGGCCUGGUUGGUACUCGGAUGGGAGAACUAAAGUGCCUGCCUUCAGGGAGCAUACAUU
RNAcentral lists this ribosomal RNA (122 nucleotides) under Carlito syrichta (Philippine tarsier). The record is from RNAcentral. Lineage: Eukaryota; Metazoa; Chordata; Mammalia; Primates; Tarsiidae.